GAUACAAGCAUGCUUGGUGAUCUCAAAUCACUCAAACAAGUCCCAAACCUAGGGUUAAGGAGCCAAACAUGCUAUGAUCCUUGAGGCAAUGCACUUGUGCAAUAACAUGAUGCCAUGAGGGAUCUUAGGGUCAAAAUUAGGGUCUUAUAGUGUUGUUUUUGUUUUUGUUUUUGUUUUUGUUUUUGUUUUUGUUUUUGUUUUUGUUUUUG
Molecule: long non-coding RNA, 209 nt
Filed under: Lathyrus oleraceus (garden pea)
Lineage: Eukaryota; Viridiplantae; Streptophyta; Magnoliopsida; Fabales; Fabaceae
Description: Pisum sativum (pea) long non-coding RNA (PSAT_LNC004453)
Source: RNAcentral